CUGGCCUAUACCACAACCACAGAAGCACCAGAUCUGAGCCAUAUCUGUGACCUACAUUGUGGCUCGUGGCAACACUGCCAGAUCCUUAACCCACUGAGUGGUGAGGCUAAGGAUCGAAACCAUGUCCUCGUGUAUACUAGUUGUGUUUGUUACCACUGACACAGAGUGGGAACUCUGGGGGAGGAAUUUCUUAACAGCUGGAGUAAUCAUUAGCUCAGACAAUCUCUGUUUUGUUUUGUUUGUUUAAAACAUGAUUUUUUAAGAUAAAUACUGUUGGAAUAUACUUAACUUACAAUCUUAUAUUGCUUUCAGGCAUACAGUACAGUAAAUCAGUUAUACAUAAUAUCCAUUCCUUUUCAGAUUAUUUUCCUAUAUAAAUUACUACAUAGUACUGAGUAAAUUGCUCUGUGCUAUAGAGUAGGUUCUUGUUACCUAUCUAUUUUAAAUAUAGUAGUGUAUACAUGUCAAUCCCAACCCCCUAGUUUAUCCCUCCUCCUAUGUUUCCCCUUUGGUAACUAUAAAUUUGGUUUCAAAUUCUUUGAUUAUGUUUCUGUUCUCUAAGGUCUUUGGUAUCAUUUUUAUUAUAUUCCACAUGUUGGUGUUCUCAUGAUAUUUGUCUUUCUCUGUCUUACUUCAUUUAGCAUGAUAAUCUCUAGGUCCAUACAUGUUGCUUCAAAUGUCAUUAUUUCAUUUUUUAUAGCUGAGUAGUAUCCCAUUGUAUAUAUGUACCACAUCUUCCUUAUCCAAUCCUCUGUCAAUGGACAUUUAGGUUGCUUCUGUCUUGACUACUGUAAAUAGUGCUGUGAAGUAUAUUGGGGUGCCUGUAUCUUUUCAAAUUGUGGUUUUCUCCAGAUAGAUACCUAGGAGUAGGAUUGCUGGAUCAUAGGGUAUUUCUAUAUUUACUUUUUAAAAUAAAUCUCCAUACCGUUCUUCACCAGGGUAGGAGGGUUCCCUUUUUUCCAUACCUUCUCCAGCAUUUUUUGUUUGUAGACUUUUUGAUGAUGACCAUUCUGACUGGUGAGGGUACCUCAUUAUAGUUUUGAUUUGCAUUUCUUUAGUAAUUAGUGAUAUUGUAGCUCAAACAGUAUUUAAGAAAAAGAAAAAACAAAAGCAGAACUCAACAUGGCAGACAUUCACUGUUUACCUAAUUUGGGUACUGUGCAGGCCCUCUGGUUAGGGGGAUAAUAAAUACAUGGAGACAAGGUACUGGCUUAUGAUCAAGUUUAGAAUUUAGAAUUGAAUAUUUGCAAAAUACACACAUGUGCACACACACACACACACACACACACAUAAACACAGAAAAUGUACUACACAUAGCAUACUCUCCCACUUACCCACCUAGACUGUCCUAACCUCUUGAUUUGCUUCAACACUGAUAUUCUCUCCAGCCUAUUAGAAUUGAUUCUCUUAAACCCUUGAUUCCCAUAAAUAUUCCCUGUGACAUUAGCUUGCUCUCUGUUGAGGUUAUGUUUUUAACACCAUCUUUUUUUUUCUUUGCUUUUUAGGGCCACACCUGCAGCAUAUGGAAGUUCCCAAGUUAGGGGUCCAAUCAGAGCUACAGCUGCUGGCCUUUGCCACAGCCACAGAAACAUCAGAUCCAAGCUGUGACCUAUACCACAGCUCACAGCAAUGCUGGAUCCUUAACCCACUAAGCAAGGCCAGGGAUUGAACACUCAACCUCACAGUUCCUAGUCAGAUUCAUUUCCACUGCGCUAUGAUGGGAACUCCAACACCAUCAUUUUUGGUAAAAAAUUAUGCAUCACUCUCAAUCCUUCCACUCAGAUAUAACCACUGUUAGUUAGCAUAGUGAUGUAUGUUCUCUUAUUUUUGUUCUAUAUAUAUUCUUUUCUUUUACAAAUUAAUAGGGUUUCACUUGCCAUUCCUAGAAUACAAUUUGUUUAUAUAGGUGAAGCUGUGGAAGGAUAUAUGCAAAAUUGUUAACUGUGGUUUUUCUCUGGGGAAGGAAGGAUGUUGGGAUAUUUAUCUUAUUCUUGCAAGUCUAUGUUGUCAUUUUAAACAAUAAAGAUGUAUUUAGGUAAAUUAAUAACAUUUAUAAAAGGAGAAAAUAAAAUCUCUACUCCCAGUGCAGUUGCCAAUAAAAAAUAUCUGUUCAUUCAUUGUCUUAUGGCAGUAGUCCUCAUCCUUGGGGACAUGGCAGGAGAGGAAAGUAUUCUGUCUGGAUCCUAAUUUUUUUUUCCAAGAGAGGAAUAAGAAAAGAAAAAUGAGAAAGAGGAGCCUUGAUUUUCUACUAGAGGCUUCAAAUGCUUAAUAAACAAAAGAGCAAACAUCAGGGAAUAACACUUCAAUUCAUUGAGGGAAUAUUCUCAUCAGCUUCUAAGAGGAAGGAGCUUUUGUGAAGAGAAAGCAGAACUGGCUCAAAGUUAGGAGGCAUGAGUUUUAGCUCCAGGUCUGUGAAAACCAAUAUUGGUGAAUCUGCAGAAGUUAUAGUGUCCAUUUUGGGUUCAACUUCCUGCCUCAUGAAAGAACUAUUUUUAUAAUAUUUUAAAAUUGAAAAUUUUGAGGGUUCAAGCUUUUUAACCUUGCCAAGUAAGGAGGAUGUAAAGGAAAAAGCAAACAAACAGCAAAAUCAAAACCUGUCAUCAAACUCCAUCCAUAUUUCGCAAAUGAAAUGACACAUUAGCACAAAAAGUGACAUGGUCUCAUAUUCUAAAAAUUAACUUUAUGUAAAAAAAAAAAGAAUUCUCAAAAUUUUCUCUUGUUUGUCUUUUUCCUCCAUUGGCAAGUAUAUAUUUUGCCAUGGAUUGCAUUUGGGAAUCUUGGCAAUAAGCCCUCUCACAUUUCUUUCUGAGGCCAUCAUGCUGGCAUGAUGUGACCCUAAGCCUGACCAUGAAUAGCACACUGGACCCUGAAAGGCAAAUUCAAGGACUCAGAGGGAAAGUAGAAGCUACACUGUAGAGCAGAGAAGUUCAGCACUGAGAAAGCAUUCAUUAUGGAACAAAUGCCACAUGCCACAUACUCUUCUGGGUGAAGGAAUUCCACAGAGCACAAUACAAACACAAGAGCUGCCUUCAUGGAACUUAUGUUCUAUUAAGAGGACAAGAUUAUUAGCAAAGAAACAGCAAAUAGAUCGUAUAUCACCUGGUCUUAAAUAUUACAGAGAAAAACAAAACAUGGUAAGUCUGAUACAUAGAGUCGUUUAAGUGUGAAAAGUGAACAAAGAAGGUCUUACUGAGCAGAGAUGAGAAGGAAAGGCAGGGAGAGUGCCAUGUAGACACCUGAGGGAAAAAAUUUUUAGUACAGGAAAUAGUAAAUAGAGAUGCGCUUAGACAGGUGUGUGCUUGAUAGGGUUGAGGAACAGCUAUGCACAGAGGGAUGGGGAAGAAAAUGAUAUUGCAUUAGUUGAGGACCAGAACAUACAGGACCUUACAAGCUCAAGCAAGACUGACUUUUCUCUGAGUGCAUGGUGAGCUGUCAGCGGGAAUUGAGUGGAGGAGCGACAUAGCUGACUUCUGUUUUUAUAAAAUUCUCUGCUAAUAUAUAAAAUGACUCCACGUGGACAAAGAAAGAAGCAGGGGAUCUAGUUGAUGCUACAAGUUCCAGUCUGAGCAAUGAAAAAGAAUAUUUUAGAGCAUAAAAUAUAUACCUGAAAAGUACCCCUGUGGUAGUGUAGUGGCUGUUGUUGUUCUUGCUGUUAUUUUAGGAAAUAGGGAAAUAGGGAAAAAUAUGGUAUUCAAUAUUUCUAUAAAGAUUGUAUCUCAAAAUAUGCAGAGAAAUCAUUUGACAAAGUCAAACAUCCAUUCAUGAUAAAAACUCUUACCAAAGUGGAUAUAGAGGGAACAUACUUUAACAUAAUAAAAGCCACUUAUGACAAACCCACAGCAAAUAUAAUACUCAAUGGAGAAUAGCUGAAAUUCUUCCCAAUAAAAUCUGGAACAAGACAAGGAUGCCCACUCUCACCACUGUUUUUCAACAUAGUAUUGGAAGUCCUAGCCACAGCAAUCAUACAAACUAAAGAAGUUAAAGGCACCCAAAUAGGAAGAGAAGAGGUAAAACUGUCAUUGUAUGCAGAUGACAUGAUACUAUAUAUAUAGAAAACCCUUAGGACUCAACCCAAAAACUACUCAAACAUAUCAAUGAAUUCAGCAAAGUAGCAGGACAUAAGAUUUACAUUCUGAAAUCAGUUGCAUUUCUGUAUACUAACAAUGAAAUAGUGGAAAAAGAAUACAAAAAUACAAUACCUUUUAAAGUUGCACCCCCCAAAAUUAAAAUAACUGGAGAUAAACCUGACUAAGAAGGUGAAAGUUUUAUAUGCUGAGGACUAUAAAACAUUAAUCAAGGAAAUUAAAGAGGAUGCAAAUAAAUGUAAAGAUAUUCCAUGCUCAUGGGUUGGAAAAAUCAAUACAGUAAAAAUGGCCAUACUACCCAAAGCAAUCUACAGAUUCAAUGCAAUCCCUAUCAAAUUACCCAUGACAUUUUUCACAGAACUAGAACAAACAAUCCAAAAAUUUAUAUGGAACAACAAAAGACCUAGAAUUGCCAAAGCAAUCCUAAGGAACAAAAACCAAGCAGGAGGCAUAACUCUCCCAGACUUCAGGUAAUAUUACAAAGCCACAGUCAUCAGGACAGUAUGGUACUGGUACCAAAAAAGACAUAUAGACCAAUGGAACAGAAUACAAAACCCAGAUAUAAACCCAGACACUUAGGGUCAAUUAAUCUUCUACAAAGGAGGCAAGAGUAUAAAAUAGGAAAAAGACAGUCUUUUCAGCAAGUGGUGCUAGAAAACUGGACAGCUGCAUACAAGUCAAUGAAACUGGAACACACCCAAACACCAUGCACAAAAAUCAGCUAAAGGAGUUCCCGUUGUGGUGCAGUGGUUAAUGAAUAUGACUAGGAACCAUGAGGUUGCGGGUUCGGUCCCUGCCCUUGCUCAGUGGGUUGACGAUCCAGCGUUGUCCUGAGCUGUGGUGUAGGUUGCAGACACGGCUCGGAUCCCACGUUGCUGUGGCUCUGGUGUAGGCUGGCGGCUACAGCUCCAAUUCGACCCCUAACCUGGGACCUCCAUAUGCCGCAGGAGCGGUUCAAGAAAU
Molecule: long non-coding RNA, 5048 nt
Filed under: Sus scrofa (pig)
Lineage: Eukaryota; Metazoa; Chordata; Mammalia; Artiodactyla; Suidae
Description: lncRNA (ENSSSCG00000052319.1)
Source: RNAcentral